CUACGGGAGGCAGCAGUCGAGAGGCUUCGGCAAUGGGGGAAACCCUGACCGAGCGACGCCGCGUGGGUGAUGAAGAUCCUCGGAUCGUAAAACCCUGUCAGGUGGGAUGAAAUACCAUUCGGUUAAUACCCGAGUGGCUUGACAGUACCUCCUUAGCAAGCACCGGCUAACUUCGUGCCAGCAGCCGCGGUAAU
This 194-nucleotide ribosomal RNA is filed under the name uncultured bacterium. RNAcentral describes it as "partial 16S ribosomal RNA". It matches the Rfam family "Bacterial small subunit ribosomal RNA", at positions 339 to 524 of the family's 1533-position model. The record is from RNAcentral.